GACAGAGGGUGCAAACGUUGUUCGGAAUUACUGGGCGUAAAGCGCGUGUAGGCGGCAUGACAAGUCGGGUGUGAAAGCCCUGGGCUCAACCCAGGAAGUGCACUCGAUACUGUCGUGCUAGAGUCCCGGAGAGGGUGGUGGAACUCUCGGUGUAGAGGUGAAAUUCGUAGAUAUCGAGAAGAACACCGGUGGCGAAGGCGGCCACCUGGACGGUGACUGACGCUGAGGAGCGAAAGCCAGGGGAGCAAACGGG
This 253-nucleotide ribosomal RNA is filed under the name uncultured bacterium. RNAcentral's name for it is "partial 16S ribosomal RNA". It matches the Rfam family "Bacterial small subunit ribosomal RNA", at positions 524 to 776 of the family's 1533-position model. The record is from RNAcentral.